GUUUUUUGUAAUAUAAUAUAUUAUAGUUACCUUCCAAGUAAAAAAUCUCUAAGAGCUUAAGAGUA
RNAcentral lists this transfer RNA (65 nucleotides) under Bulinus nasutus. RNAcentral describes it as "tRNA-Gly". Lineage: Eukaryota; Metazoa; Mollusca; Gastropoda; Planorbidae. The record is from RNAcentral.